GCAGUUGUGGCCGAGUGGUUAAGGCGAUGGACCAGAAAUCCAUUGGGGUCUCCGCGCACAGGUUUGAAUCCUGUCGACUGCG
Non-coding RNA from Ixodes scapularis (black-legged tick), 82 nucleotides. The record is from Rfam. NCBI's taxonomy places the organism in Eukaryota, Metazoa, Arthropoda, Arachnida, Ixodida, Ixodidae.